Long non-coding RNA from Numida meleagris (helmeted guineafowl), 8102 nucleotides. RefSeq lists it as uncharacterized. Lineage: Eukaryota; Metazoa; Chordata; Aves; Galliformes; Numididae. The record is from RefSeq and is a predicted model, not a curated record. The transcript is spliced from 4 exons.
UAGGCCGCUGUGGGAGGGGUUGCGUGGUGACUGGCUGCGCUUCGGUCACUGAAAGUCACAGGGGAACAACAGGAGGAAGGCAAAACCGAGUGCAAAUUUCCACCAGAGUGUGUCAGCGCACACAGAAAUCUAAAAAACUUCCGCAGCGGGUGCUGCCAGAUCGUGGUAUGACGCUUCCUAUAAAGAAACAGCAGGCAGAAGAGGAGAAAGCCCCGCUUUGUGUGCGUGGUGACAGAAUGAUAUCAGGGUGUUAGCACAACUGAGAGCUGCAGCGCAGACAUUCAGCAGGCACUGCUGAAGGAUCUUCAAGGUGUCGUCUUAAGGAAGCUUCUGAUGUUCAGAAGACAACGCUGUUGCUGGAAAAAUGGAUCUAGGUUCCGAAGUGCCAUGUCUGAAUCAGGAAGACAAUUGCAUUCAGCAAGAGAAAAGAACAUGAAAAAUUCCAAAACAGAUGACUACACUAAAGUAAUCCAACUUUAGGUGGAAGAAGGAACCAUAUAUACCGUGCUGAUCUAAAGGCUGCUCUUUGUCUAUAUCAGUUUGUUGAAAUUCUCAUGAAAUGCUCAUCCUACUUCCUCCAAAGUGCUGCACAGAGCCCAGGACGUUUCUGCUUCUCACACUGCCCUGCCAGCGAGGAGCUGGAGGUCACAAGGAGCUGGGAGGGGACAGAACUAGGAGAGCUGACUCAAACUGGUCAAAGGGAUAUCCUGUGCCAUAUGGCGUCAUGCUGAGCCGUGAAGGCUGGGGUAAGAAAGGAGGAAGGGGGUGUCAUGGGAGUGAUGACAUUUGUCUUCCCUAGAAAUCGCUUUAAGUGAGCCUUGCUUUCCUGGGAGUGGCUGAACAUCUGCCUGCUGACAGGAAGUACCAACUGAAUUCCUUGCUUUGCUUUGCUUGCAUGCACAGCUUUUUUACCCGGUAAACUGUCUUUAUCUCAACCGCCGCGUUCUUACACUUCUGCAGUUUCUGAUCCUCACCCCCAACCCAUGUGGGCAGAGUGAGCGAGCAGCUGUGUGCCUGCUGGGUAUAACAGGUUGCCCAGAGAGGCUGUGGGUGCCCAGUCUCUGGAGGUGCUUAAGGCCAGGUUGGAUGGGACCCUGGGCAAUCUGAUCUAGUACUUGGAUUAGCAGGUGGCAACCCUGCCUGUGGCAGGGGAGUUGGAACUUGAUGAUGCUUGAGGUCCCUUCCAACCCUAGCCAUUCUAUGAGUCUAUGGUUCUAUGGGUUACACCACAAGAGACCUUUUGGCACCCACAUGAGGCACAAAGGGUUCAGGGUGAUGACAGAUUGAAGUGUGCAGCGUGUUAGACCAAAUCUAUAGAAGUUACAGCUGUUUGCUGCUAAUUCGCAGGCUCCUGUGCUUCCCCAGGGCUUGCUUGCCUUACUGCAUGUUAGAGUCAGUGCUUGUUAGUGGCUGCUUUUGCUCCUACUGUUUGCUCCACUCCUUAUCAUCUUGCCUUGCUGUGCCUGGGAACAUUCUGAUAACAGCUGUGGCCAGGAGCCUGGCCUGGCAGCUGGCCAAGGCAUCGCUGCUGCUCCUGUGCUGCUGUACUGGACAGGGAACUCCAGACUGAUCUCAAGUCAAGGGACUGUGACCCGUGGACAAGUCCACAUGGGAGCAUGUACACCCCAACGUGUCUGUGGCCACAGAUAAGUCCACUGUGGAAAAUGUACACACCAAAGUGUCUGCAGCCAUGCAGAGAUAUCCAUGCUGCAGCAGGUAUACCUUGCAGUGUCUAUGGAUGGGGCCAUGCCAGAAUACCUUGAAGCCUCUCUGGCUGUGAAUAAUACAACAGAACAGUGUCUGAAGGGACCUCUGAGGGGACUGUGGCCAAUGGACCAAGCCUUGCCAGAGCAAGUACGCCUCAGAAUGAGUGUGUCUAUGGAUAAGUCCAUGCUGCAGAAGGGAUACUUCUGAAGAGGUUGUGGCCUGUCAAUAAAUCCACGCCUGAACAGGUAGACCUCAAAGCACCUGUGGAUAAAUCCAUGAUACAGGACGUAGAUCUCUGGAGGGACUGUGGCUCAUGGAUUAGGCUGUGCCAGAACAGGUAUACCUCUAAGGGACCUUGGUCAACAGAUAAGCACAGGCUGGAGCAGAGGUGAAGGGAGGAGUUCAUCGCAGUGUUAAACCCUAUGGCCUUGUCAAAAAGGACAGUGGGUGGAGAUGGUAAUGACUAUAGCUUUAGACUGUUGGAACCCAUGUUCUGGGUUGUGGGACUUUUGGUGUCCUGUUUUUGUGAAGGUGCUGCCCUGCCAGUGAGGAACUGCAGGUACACAAGGAGCUGGGAGGGGACAGAACCAGAAUAGCAGACCCAAACUGGCCAAAGGUAUAUCCUGUACUUACGGUAUCACUGUGAGCAGUAAAAGCUGGGGUAAAGGAGGAGGAAGGAGGGUAUGUUGGGAUUGUGUCAUAGCUGUGACAAAGUGUUCCGUUUAAAAUGGUGAUGACAUCAGAAAGUAUAACAUCCAUUCAGAGCUUUCAAAUGUCACUUCAGUGCAUGGGAAUUCCAAAAAUCAGCAUUAAAAGAGGAACUUCAGCUUUUAUGUUCCCAUGUGCAAAAUAAAGCCCUAAUUCCAGAGGAGAUCAGAGCUAUGUGCCUGAGUUCCCAGUGCAGCACUGGGGAACUGAUCUGUGGUUUGAAACUACAUACUGACAAGCAAACAGAAAUGCUCUUCACAAACAGAUCAAGCCAUAAACCAUAUGUGGAAUCUACUUGAAUAAUGAUGCACAAACAUUUGGAGCAGACUUGGGAUCUGACGAUAGGAGUGGGAAAUGCUGAUGAAUGGUAGUAAAAGUGCAGCCUGAGAGAAGCUGGGCUUUUCCUUUUAGGGAUCUGCUUUGUAAUUCUAUGUUCUGUAAGAACAUGUUGGGAAAUGAGAAGACUCACCAUUUUACUGAAAACCCUUUGCAUUUUUAGCAACUUAUUAACUGCAUUAACGGACUACAGAAACAAGAGAGCAAAAAAAUGAGAAGUAAACUAAUGAGCAAUCUGCACUACUGGAAAAAAAGUCCCUUAAAUUUUACAUUCAAUUUGUAAUAUUUUCAUGAGAGAAUAUUACAAGGAAAAUUAUAGUGAGAAGAGGAAGAAGGGUGAUGAGCCUUUGAUGAAGGGUUAAGCUAGCAUUUUUGGGUUGUGACUACAAACUGAAUAUUAACUUGCAUCCUAAUACCCAGAGGGUACACGUAACAGGAGUGGGACAAAAAAGAGGGACAGCAGUUGCUAUCUGAGUGAAUAUAGAUUACUGCAUAGUGAAAAGGUUAGAGGGCUGGGUUGGAGUGGCUGGAGUUUGCUAUCAGUUUCCACAAAUUUGGUAUUAAAUCAGCAGAACGAGCAGAGCACAGAGAAACAAUAAUAUUUGCACCAAAAAGAAAAGCUGGUAAAAUGUGAUUGCAUGGCAUCUGCAAUAAGAAGCCCCAUCCUUUGAGGCUUUUAGAUGUCCUUAUUUUACAAAAUGCUAGUAUCAUCGAUAGUCACGAGACUGAACUUGUCUUUCUUGGAGAAUAAGAUGUUUAAAAAUGACAAGACCACUCUAUCUAAGAUCCAAGGUGCUAUCCUCUAAUCAGACUUUGCUGAUAGUGAAGAGCUACCUUCCAAGGGCUGGCAGGGGGGAGGUUUGUGUGUCUCAAUAUCAAGUGUUUCCAAUCCUUAAACAGCACAGCACCCUUUCUAGCACCACCUGCACGCUGAGAAAUCCAAGUGCAAGGCUCUGAAUAAAGUACCAGUACUGGGGGGUUUAUAAGUGGCUCUCUUGACAGUUAACUUUCAUCCCAUCCCAAAGUUCUUCCUAAUGCCGUUUUGAAUGAAGGUAACUGCGAAGCUGGUUUGUGUCUGAGCUUUGUCAAACAUGUGCUGUAGGUCUCCAGAAAGACAUCUCCUUCACUUGGAUGCUCAGUUAUGAACAAAAUAAGCUACUGUGAGAACGAACCCAAAAUUAAGCGAGUUCUCCUCCUCUGAAACAAUUUGUAUCAAUUUGGCAUCUGCCCAGGACUGAAGCAGUUUCUCUCUCUGUGGGUCUGUUUUUCUCACUUGGAAACAAUGGCAGUAUUCAUUCCUGGUCAGUUCAUAAGGUUACUCCUUCUAAAUUUGCAUUUCCCAAAACGCAGGAGUAAAAGAUGCGGAGCAUUUCAGGCCUUAACACAUUCUGUGUUAUGACAAUGAUUUCCCUUUGCUCACUUCUAUGGGGCAAUUGAAAAAGGAGUUUGUUUUGAAGUGAAAUGUUUCAUGUACAUACUAAGUUGCUCAAUUCUGAAUCCAGACAUGUAGGUCUAUGGUCCAAGGCUUUGUAGAGCGAAAUACAUUUCUAGUGUGAGAGCUAUUCUUUUAUUUCAGUCCUUUCAAAUCUCUCUUUCCCCUUCCAAUUAGCUCCUUUCUAUCCAAUGCUAAUCUUCUGCACACAAAAAAAUCCCCACGUUUAUACAAUAUCCUGUUUUUUGCACACUGUUAUCUGUUCAGUUGCUGCACACAAGUACCCUUCAGCUGACGGCUUGUCAGCUGCAUCGUUUGCAGGUUGUCAGGCCUCCCACAUCACAUGUCUGCCCAGCCCCAGCAAGAAAGCCUGUAACUUUUUUCAUAGAAGAAGAUAAGCUACAAAAUUCAUUGUAAAACCAGUUUCUUCUGCUCAGUAGUUAGCAGGACAAAAGACAAGCCUCUGCAAAGUGAACUGUGUUUGUCCCCUGUAAUACAACACUAUACGAUGACAGACGCUACAGAAAGCUUUACAAGGCAGGCAUGCUAUGGCAAGUCUGGAAACAAAAGGAACUGCUGACCAGAAAAACUCUUAGAAAACACCAAAAAAUAGCGCAGAAUUUUGAUUUAAUGCAAGAGAAGGACAAAGGUUACGGUGGUGCAGUUAGCAAGAGAGAAUCAUCUAGUGAAAUGCAGAAGAGCAGUAAGAAAGAUGCCUCUGAGUUUGUCAGUUUUUAUACUCAAAUGGAAAGGAAAAAGGUCUUUUAAGAUAUUUGUUGUGUUUUUCAUUAAAUCCAGGGAAAAAAAAGAGAAAAAAAAACCCACAGCACUUAAGAUGUGUUACAUGAUCCUGAAAUGCUAUUUUCUGUCUUUAAGGACGUGAGAGUGUUAAGACACUAGUAAGUCUAUUUUGAGACUGAUAUCAGAAUCUGUUUUUAAUCUUAUGUUUCUGUAACAUCAUAGGGAAAACGAUAAAGAAAUAAGUCAAUGGUUGCUGCAGAUCUACGUGUUUUUCAGUACGAGGCUUAUGUAUCAAAGGCAGGAACCCAAUAACCUUGAAGGAAACCUUUGGUCUGCCUCGGUUAUUCUGCUGCAGUUUCUAGGAGCAGCACAAGGUACACUAUGUCCUACAGCAGGAAGUAAGAGAUAAGCACAACAGAUUUGUUUUUUUUUUGGUUACUGAUCACUUUCACUUUUGUUUCAUCGAGGACAGGAUUUGGUAGAACUGCAGGGAAAUGAAUCUGAACUUCUUGCUGUUGAGACAGAGCACCAGAACCAAAGAGAUGACUGUUUUUUUAAUGCACUGCAAUGGGAUUUUUCUUUAGCAGAUAAUCUGGAAAGGGUCAUUAUUUUACUGAAAGAAUGAACAGUAAUGUAUUCCUAGUAGGACAUAACAACUCCCUACCAAUGUCCUUUUGGCAGGCCUGGACUCAUGAAAGCCAAAGCAGAAAUUGAAGGAAAUUACAGAAAACGGCUCAUAUGCCAUCACACUUUGAGUGUGAAAAUCCAGGCACCCACCUGCUGUGGAUGCAUUAGCAGCAAUUCCGCUAUCUUUUCCUCGUUCCAUAUGUCUGACAAACAACAUUCAAUUGGUGUCAGCUGUUUGGGACAGUGAGAGAGGACAUGGUGAUAAGCUGCAGGAGGGUGGCCCUGCAGGAAACCAUGAUACCAUGCUUCACACGUCAGGAUUUUGGAAAGCUGAGCGAUGCCUGGUCCACACACACAGAAACUUUUAACUUAUGACACACUUACGAAGUGCAGCACAGUGCCAAAUUUCACAAGACAACUAGUCAAGCUAAUCAGAAGGGUCUGGCUAUUCCCACCAAGGACUGCAUUUUCGAGAGCAUGAUCUAUCAUGCAAUGUGACAGUGGGAUUUUAUUGCCAAACAGGCUUCAGUGAAAUCGUAAGUGAAGGUUUCAGAUUGCUUUCUGGGGAAUGAACUCUCUAGGAUGGGGGCAGGAAAUUUGGCAGGAUUCCCCUAAAAGUUUGUGGGAAACAUCUUCUGAGGCAAAAGGGAUAUGAGAGUCCAUGGACUGAAGAUGGACCUCCCCAGCCCGUGGAGCCAAGGACUCGUGGGACGGAAGCACACCACUGUUGCAAAGCUAGACUGUUUCUGCUGCGAACAUGUGUUUUUCCAGCAGAAGUGUAAUUAAUAGGGAACGUCCAUCCCUACAUCAUCACAACUACUGCAGACCAUGCAUCUAUGGAAAGCUGCUAUGAAAAUAGGGCAGUGACCCAGCCAGAUGCUGGUAUCUUUCCCUUCCUCUUGGUGUUCUUCCUACCCUAAGCCCUCACAUCAGCACCUCCUGCUGCCAGAGCCUGUGGAGGCCCUGGGUCCCUUCUGUGUCCCACCAGAGAGCCACCAACAGCUGCCUCUUAGGGAGAACGAGGAGAAGAGUAGAAGUUAUGGGGUCUUGUCCUGCAGCACAAGAGAAGCCAGGGUUCAGGUAAAUUCAUACUUCCUAGGCAGCCUGUGAGCUGGAAGAAGUCCAGGCCUGGCAGAGCCCUGGCACCAUGUAGCAGCACACCCAUGUGUCUUGUCACGUUACCCAGUGCAGAAGACAACCUGCCCACGUCCCCACCACAUGGCCAUGCUCCUGGGCCAUGAGCUGGUUCCUGGGCUUCUCACCAGAAGUUAAGUGGUUAAGAUGUCUGUGCAUGACAGUAGGUCAUAAACUACAAAUUAGGCCAUUAACCCUCAAUACUGCUUCUGGUCACAGGAAGUUAAUAAUCUAAACACUGGUAUAAAGAGGAAGAACACAGUGCAGCCUUGUCUACAAGGAAUUAACUGCCCAUGUGCUGAUUAGCACCGAGGAUCUGGGCAGUUUUUUUCUUAAACAAGAGUCUGGAGAUACUGCUGCAAUUGUCCACACAGAGCUGUACUGCAAGACUUACCACAGUAAAGGUUUUUCUCACUGAUUUUAGCUUCGGAGACUCCUCCUCUUCAGACAUGACCCAUCCACCAUGGAGAACUGGGGAUAAGGUGGCUUUCCUGGCUGAUCAAAUCCUGAUUGUUCUCACUGCGAGCUGCUCCGCACGGGAUGGGCCUAGCUCUGGGCACCCAGGCUCGGGCUCACUUUCCCCAGAUGGAAAUACUGAAUUGCAGAGCAAUUCCAGUCAUAGGCAGGCUGGCUUCCCCUCCAGGACAGCUUCUAAAUCCUAACUGAGAUGUCCAGGUCCAGGUAUAGCAGCUGUGCUUGGGUAGAAAGAAAAACUCAGCAAUUGCUCUGGGACUUGUUCUGUGUGGCUGGCAUCGCCACGUCCCAUCCCUUGGCUGCACACACUGUGCUGCCUGGAGAAGGCGAGAGCUCCCACAGGCACUGCCUGGCACCAGAGGUACUAACGGCAUCCGAGCACACAGCCCUUUCCAGCAGGAUGCCUCCCUCAGUGGUAUAAACUGGCUUAAAAGUAAUUGGACCUGAAAGAAGUCUGAUGUGUGAUAGAUUAAACUAGGGUUUUUACAUCUUUCUUUUUUCUCAUCAGUCGAUUCACAUAAUUUUUUUUUUCCCCCCAGAAACUCUGCCUGGAAGUACUAACUCCUCUUGGGCAGCUUUUUGAAAACAAAAAUAAUUUUGGUACUUUUCUUGGAAAACAAACAACACAGGAUUGCAAAUUAAUCAAAUUCUAAUCAUCAGUAGAGAAAAAAGAUUGCAGGCUCACUGAUCUCUCCCUGUGUAAUUAGGCACAAGUGGCUAAUCUCCAUGCUGCUGGAAGCAAAGAGCCAAGGCACUGGGCAGCAAUCGUCAGGUUUCCUGGCUCUUGAGUUUGCAGAGGUAGGUCUUCAGCUGGAACUUGAACGUCCUCCGAAGACAUCCGACGCUCCCCCCUCGCCUGACACACGGCAGUGAGAAAAUGCCAAAAAAGGGCUGGUGUUGUUUUAGCACCACCGAGUGGACAAAUAAGGGAAAAAAAGUUCAU